GGCGAACGCUGGCGGCGUGCUUAACACAUGCAAGUCGAACGGAAAGGCCCUGCUUUUGUGGGGUGCUCGAGUGGCGAACGGGUGAGUAACACGUGAGUAACCUGCCCUUGACUUUGGGAUAACUUCAGGAAACUGGGGCUAAUACCGGAUAGGAGCUCCUGCUGCAUGGUGGGGGUUGGAAAGUUUCGGCGGUUGGGGAUGGACUCGCGGCCUAUCAGCUUGUUGGUGGGGUAGUGGCUUACCAAGGCUUUGACGGGUAGCCGGCCUGAGAGGGUGACCGGCCACAUUGGGACUGAGAUACGGCCCAGACUCCUACGGGAGGCAGCAGUGGGGAAUAUUGCACAAUGGGCGGAAGCCUGAUGCAGCAACGCCGCGUGCGGGAUGACGGCCUUCGGGUUGUAAACCGCUUUCGCCUGUGACGAAGCGUGAGUGACGGUAAUGGGUAAAGAAGCACCGGCUAACUACGUG
RNAcentral lists this ribosomal RNA (468 nucleotides) under uncultured bacterium. Its description in RNAcentral is "partial 16S ribosomal RNA". It matches the Rfam family "Bacterial small subunit ribosomal RNA", at positions 28 to 507 of the family's 1533-position model. The record is from RNAcentral.